AGAUUGAUCCUGGCUAGGGAUGAACGCUAGCUACAGGCCUAACACAUGCAAGUCGAGGGGUAACAUGAUUGGAGCUUGCUCCGAUUGAUGACGACCGGCGCACGGGUGAGUAACGCGUAUCCAACCUGCCCCAUGCUCAGGGAUAACCUUCCGAAAGGGAGCCUAAUACCUGAUGUUGUGCGACGAUGGCAUCAGAAUUGCACGAAAGAUUCAUCGGCAUGGGAUGGGGAUGCGUCUGAUUAGCUUGCCGGCGGGGUAACGGCCCACCGGGGCUACGAUCAGUAGGGGUUCUGAGAGGAAGGUCCCCCACACUGGUACUGAGACACGGACCAGACUCCUACGGGAGGCAGCAGUGAGGAAUAUUGGUCAAUGGGCGGGAGCCUGAACCAGCCAAGUAGCGUGCAGGACGACGGCCCUACGGGUUGUAAACUGCCUUUAUGAGGGGAUAAAGUGGGCUACGUGUAGCUUAUUGCAGGUACCUCAUGAAUAAGGACCGGCUAAUUCCGUGCCAGCAGCCGCGGUAAUACGGAAGGUCCGGGCGUUAUCCGGAUUUAUUGGGUUUAAAGGGAGCGUAGGCGGAAGGUUAAGCGUGACGUGAAAUGUACCGGCUCAACCGGUGAAUUGCGUCGCGAACUGGCUUUCUUGAGUGUGCUGAAAGGAAGGCGGAAUUCGUGGUGUAGCGGUGAAAUGCUUAGAUAUCACGAAGAACUCCGAUUGCGAAGCAGCUUUCC
RNAcentral lists this ribosomal RNA (731 nucleotides) under uncultured rumen bacterium. RNAcentral describes it as "bacterial SSU rRNA". It matches the Rfam family "Bacterial small subunit ribosomal RNA", at positions 10 to 730 of the family's 1533-position model. The record is from RNAcentral.